Molecule: long non-coding RNA, 225 nt
Filed under: Elaeis guineensis (African oil palm)
Lineage: Eukaryota; Viridiplantae; Streptophyta; Magnoliopsida; Arecales; Arecaceae
Description: long non-coding RNA (EGUI_LNC048063)
Source: RNAcentral
GUGGAUUUUUGCACCAACAAGAUUGGUGCUAGAGAAAGGGUCUGUGUCUUCGCAGUACCUUUGUUCUUAAAGGAGCACUCAAUGGGACCGCCUUCGAUCAUCUUCUCCGACAUCUCCUCCUCCGGUUGCCUGCCUGAUCUCCAGCUGAUACCUCCCUGAAGGGCAUCUACCAGGCGGUCAAUGGCCUCUGCAGUCAGAUCUCAGCAAGCUCUGCAAGCCCUAGCC